Molecule: ribosomal RNA, 301 nt
Filed under: uncultured bacterium
Lineage: Bacteria
Description: partial 16S ribosomal RNA
Rfam family: Bacterial small subunit ribosomal RNA
Source: RNAcentral
CAGCCGCCGCGGGAAUACGGAGGGAGCUAGCGUUGUUCGGAAUUACUGGGCGUAAAGCGCGCGUAGGCGGUUACUCAAGUCAGAGGUGAAAGCCCGGGGCUCAACCCCGGAACUGCCUUUGAAACUAGGUGACUAGAAUCUUGGAGAGGUCAGUGGAAUUCCGAGUGUAGAGGUGAAAUUCGUAGAUAUUCGGAAGAACACCAGUGGCGAAGGCGACUGACCGGACAAGUAUUGACGCUGAGGUGCGAAAGCGUGGGGAGCAAACAGGAUUAGAUACCCCCGUAGUCCCUGUCUCUUAUAC